This 253-nucleotide ribosomal RNA is filed under the name uncultured bacterium. RNAcentral describes it as "partial 16S ribosomal RNA". It matches the Rfam family "Bacterial small subunit ribosomal RNA", at positions 524 to 776 of the family's 1533-position model. The record is from RNAcentral.
UACGUAGGUGGCAAGCGUUGUCCGGAUUUACUGGGCGUAAAGAGCGCGCAGGCGGUCAGAUAAGUCGAAUGUGAAAGCCCCCGGCUCAACUGGGGAGGGGCAUUCGAUACUGUUCGACUCGAAGGCAGGAGAGGGAAGUGGAAUUCCCGGUGUAGUGGUGAAAUGCGUAGAUAUCGGGAGGAACACCAGUGGCGAAGGCGACUUCCUGGCCUGUUCUUGACGCUGAGGCGCGAAAGCUAGGGGAGCAAACGGG